AAAAACUUAGGAUAAUUAAACCGAGGGCCUUCAAAGCCCUAAAUAAGGGCCCCAUCCCCUUAGUUUUUG
This 69-nucleotide transfer RNA is filed under the name Anolis valencienni. RNAcentral's name for it is "tRNA-Trp". It matches the Rfam family "tRNA". From Rfam's summary of the family: Transfer RNA (tRNA) molecules are approximately 80 nucleotides in length. Their secondary structure includes four short double-helical elements and three loops (D, anti-codon, and T loops). Further hydrogen bonds mediate the characteristic L-shaped molecular structure. tRNAs have two regions of fundamental functional importance: the anti-codon, which is responsible for specific mRNA codon recognition, and the 3' end, to which the tRNAs corresponding amino acid is attached (by aminoacyl-tRNA synthetases). tRNAs cope with the degeneracy of the genetic code in two manners: having more than one tRNA (with a specific anti-codon) for a particular amino acid; and 'wobble' base-pairing, i.e. permitting non-standard base-pairing at the 3rd anti-codon position. The record is from RNAcentral. Lineage: Eukaryota; Metazoa; Chordata; Lepidosauria; Squamata; Anolidae.